CUGUGCUUCUAAUAUGUAAAGCUGCUUUGAAACAAUUACCAAUUGUAAAAAGCGCUAUAUAAAUAAAUUUGACUUGACUUGACUCUCCUGAUCUGAGACCAGAGUGAAUAACAAACUACAGACACUUGAACUACAAUUCAAACUGUGUCAUUGUUCUCUACAGGUUGAGGGAUUGUGGUGUCACAGAUGAAGGUUGUGCUGCUCUGGCUUCAGCUCUGAGAUCAAACCCCUCACACCUGAGAGAACUGGAUUUGUCUGUGAAUAAACUAGGAGAAUCAGGAGUGAAGUUGCUCUCUGAUCUGAAGAAUGAUCCACAUUAUAAACUCAAGACAUUAUACUUUUGACUCUCAGUAUUUAGACGUCAGUUCAGUUUCCUCAGGAUCAGCUGAUGGUGAAUAAGGAGCCGCUACAGAGAUGAAGACACAGAGACACACAGCGAUCACACUGACAUGUGUGUGACUUCACACCGGUUUCUUGUUUUUUUUAGAUAAUGGCCCAAGAAUAUGAGUGCUGAAAAUAGCAAUUUGCAGUUCUAGACAUUGAUUACAAUGUAGAUGAUGUAACACUUAAUUUAAACUGCAAACAAGUAAUGCAUUCUCUGUAAAGCUGCUUUGAAACGAUACGUAUUGUGAAAAGCGCUAUACAAAUAAAUGUGAUUUGAAUUGAAUUAAUGCAAAGUGACAAAACUGAAUCAUUCCAUUUUCAUCAAGCCAUAGACAUGCUGUAAAUAAGAGAUAUAUUGUGCAGUACUUUAUUAAAAUGGUAGAAUAUGAUGUAUUAAUAUACUGUAACUGAACUUUAUUUCACCUUGAGUAAUUUUAAGAACACUUUUACGAGUUUUCCUUUGAGAAAAUCAAGAGUCUUUCUAAGAGACAGAUGUGUAAAUGUGUCUACCAGCAGAAGGUCACAAAGAUUAUGCAAAUAAUUUCACUGAAAAUGUUUGUCUGUAAAAUAAUUGUAUUUACCUAUUCUUGUAUGUGAUAAUCUAUUAAAGUUUCCAUAUAAAUCUUAUUGUU
Megalobrama amblycephala (Wuchang bream) is the source of this 1016-nucleotide long non-coding RNA. RefSeq lists it as uncharacterized. The record is from RefSeq and is a predicted model, not a curated record. NCBI's taxonomy places the organism in Eukaryota, Metazoa, Chordata, Actinopteri, Cypriniformes, Xenocyprididae. The transcript is spliced from 2 exons.